Molecule: small nuclear RNA, 106 nt
Filed under: Ochotona princeps (American pika)
Lineage: Eukaryota; Metazoa; Chordata; Mammalia; Lagomorpha; Ochotonidae
Source: RNAcentral
CUGCUUGCUUCGGCAGCACAUUAUGCUAAAAUUGGAACAAUACAGAGACCAGUGUGGCCCCCGUGCCAGGAUGGUGUGCAAAUUCAUGAAGUAUUUUCACAUUUUU